GGGGGGGCAGCAGUCAGUCCCGUUGCCAGGAGGCGGAACCCGGACACAAUGGGGUCUGGGACUUGGGCCCGGCAGGGGCAGGAAUCCAGACACCCCACCCUGCCGUCCCAGCCGGGACACCAGGAGCAGGUCAGUGCAUCAACUUCUCGGGCCUCCCGGGCACUAGGGCCCCCACACCAACCCCCUCGCCCGGGUAUCCUCCCUCGAUGUCUCUAAAAUAUCCGGGGUCUCCAGAACCCCAGGGAAUUCCUCUCCCGUGUAGAGUUCAAACUUGGCGCGCGCAUAUAAACCCCUACUGAAUUCCUUUUGGGGGUAGGGGACGGGACAGGGCCUCGAAGCUGGGUCCCUGUCCCUCACCCCCCUGGAGCGGAGAAAGCUGGCGUUUGUUAGCCUGGUGCCUAGGAUACGCGUGGGCCCCGCCCAGGAGUCAGGCCCAGCUGGAGGGGGAUGGGGAGUGCGUCCCCGCGAGUCGGGGUGGAGGGGCCCGGGCGGUCACCUUGUGUCCGCAGGUGUUGCAGGCCAGGCCGAAAGCGCUCCCACUGCGCCAUGGGCUCGGACGUCUGGGUUGGCCCUUGGCGGCCGCACCGGCCCCGCGGCCCCAUUGCAGCGCUCUACAGCGGCCCGGGGCCCAAGUACAAGCUGCCACCCAACACCGGCUACAUCCUGCACGACCCGUCGCGGCCCCGCGCCCCCGCCUUCACCUUCGGCGCGCGCCUCCCCACGCAACAGACUUCGUGCGGCCCCGGGCCAGGCUACCUGGUGCCUGCUCGCAUGACCGUGCGCGGCCGCGACGGCGCCCCUGCCUACUCCAUCUUCGGCCGCCCGCGCCACACAGCGCCCUUCCUCACUCCCGGACCGGAAGAACUCCAAGCUCCACCGGGCCUUGGCAGACCGUGGUUCGAAUUCCCCCUAAUCCCUGGGCCCCAGCCUAGUCCCCCACCCGGCCUGCAAUCCAGUUCGGCCGACACCCGAGUCCGCCCGCAGGCAGGUACUUCCCGGAGCGAGCGGGGAACGUGGCGUACCCCAGCGCGCCCCGGCACACCAUCGCUCCCCGAAACUGGGGCCUCCGCGCGGAGCCGCAGACCCCAGGCCCUGGGACCUACACUGUACCGUCGCUCCUGGGCCCGCGCGUCGUCGGUAAAGUCUCCGCCCCGACUUACUCCAUCUACGGCCGCAGCGCGGUGGGCAGCUUCUGCGAGGACCUCAGCAAGACUCCGGGGCCCUGCGCCUACCACGUGGUGAACCCUGGGAUCUACAAGCCCCGGGCCCCCCAGUUCUCAAUGCUGGCGCGGACCUCGCUCCCCCGGGGCAGCACCCUGAAUCCCGGGCCCGCAGCCUACAACGUGGACCAGCCCCGGAAGCCUCGCGGCUGGAGCUUUGGGAUUAGGCACUCGGACUACCUGGCCCCGAUGGUGUUCGACGUGGAUGACUGACCAGCCGCACGGACGCAGCCCCACAAAUGUUUCUUAAAACUUCUGGAGCCAG
Phacochoerus africanus (Common warthog) is the source of this 1485-nucleotide RNA transcript. It is a transcript of the gene named outer dense fiber of sperm tails 3B, with no coding region annotated. Lineage: Eukaryota; Metazoa; Chordata; Mammalia; Artiodactyla; Suidae. The record is from RefSeq and is a predicted model, not a curated record. The transcript has 6 exons.